UACAGAGGUCCCAAGCGUUGUCCGGAUUCAUUGGGCGUAAAGAGCGCGCAGGCGGCUUGGUAAGUCGGGUGUGAAAACCCGGGGCUCAACCCCGGAACUGCACCCGAUACUGCCCGGCUAGAGGUAGGUAGGGGAGAUCGGAAUUCCUGGUGUAGCGGUGAAAUGCGCAGAUAUCAGGAGGAACACCGGUGGCGAAGGCGGAUCUCUGGGCCUUGCCUGACGCUAAGGCGCGAAAGCUAGGGGAGCGAACAGG
RNAcentral lists this ribosomal RNA (253 nucleotides) under uncultured bacterium. RNAcentral describes it as "partial 16S ribosomal RNA". It matches the Rfam family "Bacterial small subunit ribosomal RNA", at positions 524 to 776 of the family's 1533-position model. The record is from RNAcentral.